RNAcentral lists this transfer RNA (64 nucleotides) under Phrynocephalus clarkorum. RNAcentral's name for it is "tRNA-Tyr". Lineage: Eukaryota; Metazoa; Chordata; Lepidosauria; Squamata; Agamidae. The record is from RNAcentral.
GUAAGGUGGCUGAGUUAGGCGGUGGUUUGUAAUUCCAUUUAUAGGGUGCGUGCCCUUCUUAUCA